RNAcentral lists this ribosomal RNA (433 nucleotides) under uncultured bacterium. RNAcentral's name for it is "partial 16S ribosomal RNA". It matches the Rfam family "Bacterial small subunit ribosomal RNA", at positions 29 to 507 of the family's 1533-position model. The record is from RNAcentral.
AACGAACGCUGGCGGCAUGCCUAACACAUGCAAGUCGAACGAGACCUUCGUGUCUAGUGGCGCACGGGUGCGUAACGCGUUGUAACCUUCCCUUAUGUUCGGAAUAACUCCCCUACUGGUGUUCUUAUACCGGCUAAUGUCUUCUGACCAAAGAUUUAUCGCCUUUUGAUGGGCCCGCGUUGGAUUAGCUUGUUGGUAGGGUAAAAGCCUACCAAGGCGACGAUCCAUAGCUGGUCUGAGAGGAUGAUCAGCCACACUGGGACUGAGACACGGCCCAGACUCCUACGGGAGGAAGGAGUGGGGAAUAUUGGAAAAGGGGCGAAAGCCUGAUCCAGCAAUGCCGCGUGAGUGAUGAAGGCAUUAGGGUUGUAAAGCUCUUUUAAACGGGAUGAUAAUGACAGUAACGGGAGAAUAAGCACCGGCUAACUACGUG